ACUGUGGGUUGUUCCGUUGACAAUUUGAGCCGACAUUUUGUUUUUUUCAAAAAUCCAAAAGUGUUUGUCACUGAUUGGCUGGCUGCCGAGACGCCUCUCUUUCGAGAAUCCUGAUUGGUCAAGGCACCAGAGGCGAUAAAACGGUUGUUUGGCUAGCUAGCUCAAACGCGAGUAACCACUUGGUGUCGCUGGAAAACCCGAACUCUGAUGAGGACACUGUUGCUCCAGAAUCCGACUUCAGAACCUUCCUCCGUCCAUGUUGGGAUCAACAGGUAGAGCAACCCGGCAACCUGAAGCCAGUCAGCAAUCACAGAAAGUAAUCCUCGCUCUGCUCUGAGUUGUUGGGGCAUCUGGAUGAAGCAACUUGUUUACAAACCACAAAUUAGCUGGAGGUUUCAGCUACUCUGGAUUCCUGUUACCCCCAUCCUGGAGGAACUGGGGACCAGUUGGACAGACUAGGAAUGAGACGGACGGACGGGGCGGGGGGACAAGAGAGGCAGGGGGCUGCAUGUCAGUCCGCUCUCCUCAGUCACGGCCAGUUAGUUAAAGCAAACGCAGCCUGGACCCAGGAGACGACGCGGGGCGGUGGAGAGUGCCAAUCACGGCCGAGCUCAGAGCAUUCGCCACUGCGGCUCGCCUUGAGCAACUUUUUAUUAAUUUAAUAAACAUCCCGCAGAGACGGAGCGAUGUGGACUUGUGUACCCUCGCAGACAACGGCGCUGUUCGCCGGGGCCUAAUGAGAUGUGCAACUCAAACACGCGCUGAAACUGAACGUAUAAUGACGCGUCUUUGAAAACAGCCGUUGGUGCAUCCCUGGGGCACAAUCGCCCAAUAAAUGUGCAGAGAAAGAAA
Long non-coding RNA from Xiphophorus couchianus (Monterrey platyfish), 852 nucleotides. RefSeq lists it as uncharacterized. The record is from RefSeq and is a predicted model, not a curated record. The transcript has 5 exons. Lineage: Eukaryota; Metazoa; Chordata; Actinopteri; Cyprinodontiformes; Poeciliidae.